This 4317-nucleotide long non-coding RNA is filed under the name Eptatretus burgeri (inshore hagfish). Its description in RNAcentral is "lncRNA (ENSEBUG00000017520.1)". Lineage: Eukaryota; Metazoa; Chordata; Myxini; Myxiniformes; Myxinidae. The record is from RNAcentral.
AUUUGCUCUCUUCUGGGUAAAAUAAUGCAGUAUUUAUUUUUCGUCUCGAAAUCCAGUAAUAUCCAGUGAGUAAGUGCAUUCUCAGGCAGUUCAGUUCGAUAAAAUCGCCGCGAGUUUGUCCUUCUGUCGUGCUUCCCUCCAUGGCGGUGUAAAGGGCGCCCGGACUCGAAGGCGGUGUUUUUUAAAAAAAGCUUUUCUCAAGACGUUUCAGAAGCAUUUAUGAUAAAUAAUACACAAUCUGUGUGAUAUUUAUAAACCGAAGGAUAAUAAAAAAUCGCCGAUUAGUGGAGAAUAAUUAAUUAAUUCCACCGUGUCGUUGCGACAAAAGGUCCAAGAACGAGCACGGUCAUCGCGUCAACUCAGUGCGAUAUCUCGACGUCGCUUGUCCUUGUCCUGGUGCUCCGGUGCGCGAGGCUCUUCACUUGGAAUAUCAUGCAAGAAGAAAAGGCUGAAAAUAAUCAAGAGAUUACUUUUCACAUGGACAAACACAUGGUUGAAAUUGGUAUCGGAUCUAAGGAGAGGGAGAUGGAGGCCGAAUCGAAGACGACAAAGGAGAAUCCACCAGUGUCAAAAGUUGGAGAAGACUUGCAAGGACCAGCGAAGGAGGCGAUCGUUUCAGAGAAAGGGCAGCGCGUCGAUCGAAAUGCUGUACGAGAAACGAAGGAUGACGUAAACAAUGGAGAUGAAGGAAGAAAAGAUACUUGCGAAGAGGAAACGUUGUGCGACGAUAUGACUGCUGCAGCAAAAGAGCUCAAUAUUUCUGUGGAAGAGCUGGAGAAACUUUUAAAAAAGUACGUUGAGGAACAGAUGCAGCAGGAAACGCUAUUACAGGAGAGGGUUCCAGACCUGCGUGAGCGAGUGCAACGGCAGGAGGCAAAAGAUAUUGCUGUUUCGAAGAUGUUUGAAGAUAUUAUGAGAGUGAAUGGUUUUACGGUGGCCGCAGUGUAUAUCCUGCCACCAAGCUCUUGAAUAAAAAAAAUAAGUCACCGAACUGCAGGAGGACGUCUGCAGACACAGUUGGGCUCCAGGUAUGGAUGGCCAUUGGCUCAGAAGGCGCUCCUCUGCCCUUUGACAGGUUUAAAAAAAAAAAAAUCCUGCAGGCUGUCCAUAUCCAUACACCCUCUUCACCAGGAAAUCUGGUGGGGGAGAUUGUUUAGUUGCCGACGUCCUGACCAUGAAACAGGUUGGUACAUGAUACCUGUAGCAAGUCUCAGAUCUGAUCUGGCCUGACCUGGCAAUAGGUAUUUAUUUGGUAUUUCAUGGCAGAAAUGAAGAUCUGGACUUGCACGCACACACCAUCUCGUUUUUUUUUCCGUUUCUGUUCCUCACAAUUCGCACACAUGCAUCGAUACAUGCCUGAUGCGUUUUAUCAAUAGAACAGUUUCGGCUUUUCCUAAAAUAAAAUUUUAAGGAUUGCUGAAAAUGAUGCUUAAUUUCACAACAUCCUAUAUUCAACUUGAUUUCAGUUGAAAACCUCAAAACAACCUUGACUUGUUUCCCGAUUGCCCAGAUCAUCAGCUUGACACCGUUCUUCCUCAAGGUUUCAAUCUUUUAAAUCUAGAACCUCUCCAAAUGGCACAUCCACAACCUCAGACAUGGAUCCACAUCAGUAGAUCUACAUCAAUAUAUCCACAACUUCAGUUGCAUCCAGGCAGUCGGUCAACCCAUCAAUGCAACAUCACUAUUCAAACUUUACUCGCUCGAGGAUUGAAUAUUAUCACAUGGUUACAACUCCCAUCACACAUUCCAUGAUAUGAUAUGAUAUUACAUUAAAUCAUGCACAUUUUACCUUAAAUAUAACAUGCCCACCAACCAGCACGACCACCUCACUUGCCUCUGGAUCAAACUUAUUUAUAACUGAUUUACCAAAAUGCUGCAGUGUCCCAGCAACCACUGAAAAUGGUUACUAUAUACAUAUAUGCACACCAGCACCCCUUGGGUGGGUCGAGUUAGUGCACCACUUGUGGAAAGAAAGUAUAGUCUGUUUUGUGUGGUGUGUGCUUAAAAGGUUCUACUGUAGAUGGUCUAAGAGGUCUAAAGUAUACGUUCCAAUCGUAGUUUGUGUCCAACGGUUCGAAAGGGUCUAAUCUCUCAAGUAUGUAAAAAGGGUCUAAAAAUGGUCAAGGUUCCAAGCUCUGUAAUCUGUAUAAAUGGUGUAAAGGUCGAAAGAUUCUCGUGGUUAAAGGGUAUAAAAGGUCAAAAUGGUGAUGUGUUGAAGGAGUCUUGGGGGUCUCAAGGGGCCUCAACAUUCUAAAGGGUCAAACGGUACAUUCCAACAGUACGUAAUUAAUAGACAUAUAGUCACACGGCUUCUCUGACUGCUUCACCGUGUUUUUCGUUUUUAGAUCCUCGUGGAGGAUCUCUAAGUCUUACUUACGUUGUUGUUCUUCUGAUUCUUCUUGUGGACUUUUUUGUUUCGCAGCCUACAGUUUUCAUCGAAACUUCCUGAAACUUGGUAUAUAUAUGUAAAAAUACCCCGCGCAGACAGUAACCAUCUCCGAUUUUGAAAAUUCCUCCCAGAAAAAAAGUUGUGACGUCAAAAUAUCUCCGCUAAAGGAAAUCGCCUAAAUAUUAUCUCCGAAACUAGGCAAGCUGUUUGAAUUCUGUUUGUGGGAAUCGAACAGGGCAUUAGCAGAGAUGAAUUACCGCACAUAUGAUCCCCCCCCCCCCCCCCCCCCCCCCCCCCCCCCCCCCCCCCCCCCCCCCCCCCCCCCCCCCUCACAACCCAGAGUUUUCAUCAGAUCUUCGUGAAACUUGCCAUGUAUAUGCAGAAAGCCCACGCGCAGGCAGUAACCAUCUCAGAUUUUGGAUAUUCUUCCUCGAAAAAAAAAAAAAAAGUUGACGUCAUAAUAUCGCCGCUGAUGGAAAUCACCUAUACUAUUAUCUCCGAAACUUGACAAGCUGUUUGAAUUUUGUUUGUGGGAAUCAAGCCGAGCAUUAGCACAGAUAAUUUAUCGCAAACCUGAAACAUCAUAAUGACGUCGUAUUCGUUUUUAUGACAUCAUUAAGAGGAUGAGGAUGUUAGCUCAUUUGAGCUUAUCUCUAUAUAUGCUGUAGAUAUUUUAAACAAUGUGUUUACUGCAAUGUUUAAUGAAUUAUAUUUUGGGUUGUCUGUGCGUCCAUCUGUGAUAGUUACUAUUCGUAUUGUAUUUCACGAAUUCUAUUUGGUGUCGUUUUAUGAUCUUGAAGAAAACUUGUUUUAAUCUGCUAACUGUGUAGCUCCUUGUGUUGGCAUACUUCUAACUUGUUGUUUGAAUCUACUGACAAGUUCAGUGCUGUGUGUGGUUGCUCUUGCGCAGUCCUAAUUAUUUCACCUGCAACUGUACCAUAGAAUAACUUCUUCGGAAUAUUGCUGUCUAAGAAAUGCAUUUGUCCAAUGUGGAAUGGAAAAUCGUCUCGUUUAUUAAAUAAUUUGGUGUGAAAUUUAUUAUUAUUUAAUUCGAUUUGUAAUUCCGAGUUUGUUUGUUUUUCCUUUUUCAAUUCGAGUUCUUUUGGAUGUAUACCUUCACAAAGCUGAUCAAAUAUAAAUCAUCAACGAAUCUAAAGAGGUUUGCACAUCUUCUCGCAGUUAGUUUAUUCCAGCACAUGUUAUUGACCCAAUCGGAGAGAGUAACGUGGGUAGAGUUUGAAAAGGCAAAGGAUUUACCUUGCGUAUCUUUUCAUGGUUGCUUUGUGCAGCUUUUGUUGGCUAGAAGAGCAUGGGAGGAGUUAAUUUUAUAUUUACCUCUGCCACCUAAGGUGGAUGGAGGUUGUGUUUUCACCUUUCUGUUUGUCUGUUUAUAGGAUAUCUCAGAAAGUUGUGGACAGGUUGGGUGUGUGAUGAGGACGAAGUGAUUAGAUUUUGGUGAAAAUCCAAAUCCGUAUGAGAAUUUUUUUUUUUAAGUGAUUUUGCACCAUGGAGAUGUGAUGCCAAAAACGAUGCAUAGAACGAUAUCUCAAACUUUUGAACGGAUUCGGAUGAAACUUGGUGAACAUUGAAGAAUUGAUUCUGUUUUUGGUGAAAAUCCAAAUCCGUGUACGAGAAUGCUUGUAAGUGAUUCUACACCAUUGAGUGAUGGGGCCAAAAAUGAUCCAGAGCAUGAUAUCUGGACAUGUUGGGUGUGUGACAAGAACAAAUGUAUUCGAUUUUGAUCCAGAUCCAGAACCGGCCUAUCGGUGAGAUACAAAACAUAAACCGUUAAGCCUGGCGGAGGUACGUGCUCGACCGAGUGCCAUUUGAGUUAUAUGACACACACACACACACACACACACACACACACACCCCCCCCCCCCCCCCCCCCCCCCCCCCCCCCCCCCCCCCCCCCCCCCCCCCCCCCC